AGUGAACGCUGGCGGUAGGCCUAACACAUGCAAGUCGAACGGCAGCACAGUAAGAGCUUGCUCUUACGGGUGGCGAGUGGCGGACGGGUGAGGAAUACAUCGGAAUCUACUUUUUCGUGGGGGAUAACGUAGGGAAACUUACGCUAAUACCGCAUACGACCUACGGGUGAAAGCAGGGGAUCUUCGGACCUUGCGCGAUUGAAUGAGCCGAUGUCGGAGUAGCUAGUUGGCGGGGUAAAGGCCCACCAAGGCGACGAUCCGUAGCUGGUCUGAGAGGAUGAUCAGCCACACGGGAGCGUAGACACGGUCCAUGCGCCUACGAGAGGCAGCAGUGGGGAAUAUUGGACAAUGGGCGCAAGCCUGAUCCAGCCAUACCGCGUGGGUGAAGAAGGCCUUCGGGUUGUAAAGCCCUUUUGUGGGGAAAGAAAAGCAGCAGGUUAAUACCCCGCUGUUCUGACGGUACCCAAAGAAUAAGCACCGGCUAACUUCGUG
RNAcentral lists this ribosomal RNA (492 nucleotides) under uncultured bacterium. Its description in RNAcentral is "partial 16S ribosomal RNA". It matches the Rfam family "Bacterial small subunit ribosomal RNA", at positions 29 to 507 of the family's 1533-position model. The record is from RNAcentral.